ACACACUGCUAGGAGGAGAAUCAGGCUUAGAAACUUUAAUGGCAUCCACAGUAGCAGCCAAGAAGCUUGCCAUGGCAUCAACACCAAUGUCUGAACUAACAUGAUUCUCAGCAUCAGACGUGACCAAACUCUCAGAGGUUUCAGAGCCCGCACUGGUACAUGAGAUCCCAAUAUACUCUGAAACCAUCAUCUGGUUUUCAUUCACAAUUUUAGGAUCUGGAAACUCAAUCUUAUCAAAUUCAGUAGGGAGUGAUUCCUGUAUCUCUACAUCCUGCACAGUUCCGUCCGUAGCUGAAGCAGCAGGCAUUGCAGGAAUUGCCAUGACAUCGGGUGAAGCUCCAUUAUAUGAUAGAGAUAACUGAACAAACCCUGCAGGAGAAUGGAAUAAAUCAGUUGAAGAAAGAGAGAACUCUUUCUCCAGCUUCCCAUUCUUGAUUAGAACAUCAGACAGGGGCACCAAGGCAAACCCUAGCAACUGAUCCUCCAGAUAAUUCCUCACCCUGCUCAUCAUGAAUAUCUCACAUUUAAGAGAAGAAUCAAUAGUUUUGACAUUGAACCGGAGAUCAUCNAUCAUUGAAGACUGGGUUCCUCCCACCACCAUUGAUGAUUUUGGUGGAUACUGUGUUUUCAGGAUCACUGGUCAGGCAAAACUUAGCAUAAACAUCUUGCUUGUGGUAAAUACAUAUGUUAUGGAUGUCCCUAGCCUGAUGUACGUAGACCUCAAGAAUGCCAAUGAAAUCCUGCAAGCUGCCGACCAUGGCUUCCUUUCUCUGGACCUCAAUUCCCUUGGACAAACUACCAGAGGUCCGAACUGCACAAUCAAAUUCGGGUUCAGCAACAAUAGAACUCUUGAAUGGUGAUACAACAGAUUGAGGGGAAUCCAUUAUCACGCCAAGAAAAAUGUACCUCCAAAGUCAAAAUGAAUUGAGCAGAAUCUGUGGCUCUAAUCCAAGAUCUGGCCAAGACUCAGUUCGUAAACCGAGGUCUUCUUUUUCGCUUUUUAGCUUUUACUGUUGAACUUCAAAGAAAACAAGCAAGUGAAGUGCUCAAGAAUAACCGAAAAGAAGGAAUAAAAUCCAACUUAAUCUAAACAAAUACGGGCAGUAUUGAGAGAGAGAGAGAGAGUUGAAGAUGCUCGUAUGGAUACUUGUCGUUUGUCAGAUAGGUUGCGUGAUAUAUAUAAACGAGUGAAAAAUGCGUAGUAGACAAAGGAAUGAAUAAUUUUUGUAAUUGGGAUUUUAUAUACAGGAAAUAUAAAAAGAAAGAAGGAAGGGUCUUUAAAAUCAAAUCUUUUCAUAAGAAUGGAGAGACAGCGGCCCACGAGUUGGCAAUGGCAAGGGAGGAACCAAUUAGAGGAGAGAUGAGUGCGUUUUUGC
Molecule: unclassified non-coding RNA, 1376 nt
Filed under: Hevea brasiliensis (rubber tree)
Lineage: Eukaryota; Viridiplantae; Streptophyta; Magnoliopsida; Malpighiales; Euphorbiaceae
Source: RNAcentral